UUUUGCUGAGAGGCACACACCCAUGCGCAUGUCUUAAUACUCUCUGAUUUUCCACAGACGGUCUUCAUCGAUCCUGACGUCGUGUUGCCUGCGCUGGAAAAAACCUGUGCACAGUAAAGGAGAAAAACCGGGACCAUUCGAUCUCCGGUCAGCGUCUUAUACAGGCCCCACGGCGCCAGGACCAGAUGAACCGGAUCCAAAACGCAGCACCACAGUAAGUCUCUUGCAGGUUGAACCCCGGUGAUUGGAUUCUGAUUAAAGUCCUCCAGCGGAAAAACUGGAGUGCUCCGAGGUGGGAGGGGCCCUUCCAGGUGUUGCUUAC
This is a long non-coding RNA of Astatotilapia calliptera (eastern happy), 322 nucleotides long. Lineage: Eukaryota; Metazoa; Chordata; Actinopteri; Cichliformes; Cichlidae. The record is from Ensembl.